This 26-nucleotide non-coding RNA is filed under the name Homo sapiens (human). The record is from RNAcentral. Lineage: Eukaryota; Metazoa; Chordata; Mammalia; Primates; Hominidae.
CAAGAAUGAAGCCGUGACCUUGGCGG